Molecule: long non-coding RNA, 1213 nt
Organism: Oncorhynchus tshawytscha (Chinook salmon)
Lineage: Eukaryota; Metazoa; Chordata; Actinopteri; Salmoniformes; Salmonidae
Source: Ensembl
ACGCGAUGGGAUGCGGUGAGAAUGCCACUGUGGCAGUCUUCAAGGAUUCCGUCUACAGUUGAAAAAAAUUGAUGCUCAUUAUCAAAUAACACCGUUUUUUAUUAUGAGCUUUAAUCCUGCCUCUUUGCAGGAAUGGAAAUGAUUCUGCCAAGCCCCAAAGUGCCUUAAGGUUAAUGAGGCAAUCUUCAUCAAUUCUUUUGCCAUCUGGAGAUGCUUCGUGGCAGCAAGAUCCUGUAAUGUGAGGAAUGUUUGCACAGAGUGCCCAAACUUUUAUGAACAAAUUCACGCAUGCCAAUAUCUUUUUUGUUUGUUGUAAUGGCUAUUCUAUUGAUGACAGCAUGCUACAAAUAAUGACAAUUAUGGAGUAUUUUUAGCAGUAGGUAAGCAUAGUACAGAAUAGUACACAAAUGCUUCCUAUUACUACGUGCAGUGGUGGUGGUGGUGGUAUUACGGUCGUUAGGAUUUAGGCUCUCCUCACAGGGCUAAAUUACACUUAAUUUAUUUUAGCAUCCUCUGUUGUCUGCCCAGGAACAACAGAACAGGACAUCCUAAUCAUUCAAGAUGUAGAGGAGGAGUGUGCAUGUGCGUGUGUGUAUGUGUGUAUGUGUAUGUGUGUGUGUGUGUGUGUGUGUGUGUGUGUGUGUGUGUGUGUGUGUGUGUGUGUGUGUGUGUGUGUGUGUGUGUGUGUGUGUGUGUGUGUGAGUGAGUGAGUGAGUGAGUGAGUGAGUGAGUGAGUGAGUGAGUGAGUGAGUGAGUGCCUGUGGAUCUGCCAAUAUGAGGGGGAGGUAGCUUUGCUUUGGGAGGAAAUGGUUUUAAACAGGCAGGAUAUUUUAUAUAAAAGGGUUACAUUUGAAAUUUGGAUGAAAUAACCCCAUCCUGUCUUUCUCCCGAAGAGGAGGGGGGAGGUGGGGGAGGCAGAUGUGUUCUGGCUUAUCUCUUCCACCUGUGGCAAAUGAUGGAUCAACAUAAUUUCUUCUCACUGGAGGGAGUGCACAGUAUAUAGGCCCAGUAUGUGUGCUGGGUUGGAAUGGACCUUCUCUAGUCACAACAGUAGAGAACUGGAAUGGGCAUUCUCUAGUCACAACAGUGGAGAACUGGAAUGGGCAUUCUCUAGUCACAACAGUAGAGAACUGGAAUGGGCCUUCUCUAGUCACAACAGUAGAGAACUGGAAUGGGCAGUCUCUAGUCACAACAGUAGAGAAUUGGAAUGGGC